AUUGAACGCUGGCGGCAGGCCUAACACAUGCAAGUCGAACGGUAGCACAGAGAGCUUGCUCUCGGGUGACGAGUGGCGGACGGGUGAGUAAUGUCUGGGAAACUGCCCGAUGGAGGGGGAUAACUACUGGAAACGGUAGCUAAUACCGCAUAACGUCGCAAGACCAAAGUGGGGGACCUUCGGGCCUCACACCAUCGGAUGUGCCCAGAUGGGAUUAGCUAGUAGGUGGGGUAAUGGCUCACCUAGGCGACGAUUCCUAGCUGGUCUGAGAGGAUGACCAGCCACACUGGAACUGAGACACGGUCCAGACUCCUACGGGAGGCAGCAGCGGGGAAUAUUGCACAAUGGGCGCAAGCCUGAUGCAGCCAUGCCGCGUGUAUGAAGAAGGCCUUCGGGUUGUAAAGUACUUUCAGCGGGGAGGAAGGCGGUGAAGUUAAUAGCUUCACCGAUUGACGUUACCCGCAGAAGAAGCACCGGCUAACUCCGUGCCAGCAGCCGCAGUAA
This 504-nucleotide ribosomal RNA is filed under the name uncultured bacterium. Its description in RNAcentral is "partial 16S ribosomal RNA". It matches the Rfam family "Bacterial small subunit ribosomal RNA", at positions 30 to 523 of the family's 1533-position model. The record is from RNAcentral.